GUGUCAGCCGCCGCGGUAAUACGGGGGGAGCAAGCGUUGUCCGGAAUCACUGGGCGUAAAGGGCGUGUAGGCGGGCUGGUAAGUCAGAUGUGAAAUCCCACGGCUUAACCGUGGAAUUGCAUUUGAAACUGCCAGUCUUGAGUGCGAGAGAGGGUAGUGGAAUUCCCGGUGUAGCGGUGAAAUGCGUAGAUAUCAGGAGGAAGGCCUGUGGCGAAGGCGGCCCUCUGGCGCUCAACUGACGCUGAGGCGCGAAAGCGUGGGUAGCAAACAGGAUUAGAUACCCUGGUAGUCCACGCCCUAAACGGUGGGCACUAGGUGUGGGGCUCGAGAGGGUUCCGUGCCGAAGGUAAACCAAUAAGUGCCCCGCCUGGGGAGUACGGCCGCAAGGUUGAAACUCAAAUGAAUUGACGGGG
RNAcentral lists this ribosomal RNA (413 nucleotides) under uncultured prokaryote. RNAcentral describes it as "partial 16S ribosomal RNA". It matches the Rfam family "Bacterial small subunit ribosomal RNA", at positions 505 to 918 of the family's 1533-position model. The record is from RNAcentral.